AAGACUAUAUUUUCAGGGAUCAUUUCUAUAGUUUGUGAUUAGAGAAGUGUGGUUGAAAGUGUCUGAUCUUGCUACUCAUGAGGAUGAGUUAAAGUGUUCUUUUCUCAACAUGAAGUGAAUAGACAAUGUUAUUUUAAUGCACCUGCUGUCUGUUAUUGAUGACCGUUCUUGCUUUCCUUUUGGGAAGCUGAGAGAAAAAGAGCACGAACUGAGUGGU
Mauremys reevesii (Reeves's turtle) is the source of this 217-nucleotide small nucleolar RNA. RefSeq annotates it as small nucleolar RNA U3. The transcript has a single exon. NCBI's taxonomy places the organism in Eukaryota, Metazoa, Chordata, Testudines, Geoemydidae. The record is from RefSeq and is a predicted model, not a curated record.